GUACUUGCCCGGCAGGGGGAGCCGUGAUGGCGAAGGUUGUCUCCCCAGGGCGAGGCUUGGCCACUGCACUCGGGGGUGCCCGCCCUUGCGACUUCCCCAGACGUGGGAACUUGCUGCAUAGUGUGUGGAGUGGGCGCCUGCGUUUGCGCUCUCCCCUG
Small nuclear RNA from Pteronotus mesoamericanus, 158 nucleotides. RefSeq annotates it as U1 spliceosomal RNA. The transcript has a single exon. The record is from RefSeq and is a predicted model, not a curated record. Lineage: Eukaryota; Metazoa; Chordata; Mammalia; Chiroptera; Mormoopidae.